UACGUAGGGGGCAAGCGUUGUUCGGAUUCAUUGGGCGUAAAGGGUGCGUAGGUGGCGGGGCAAGUCAGGUGUGAAAUCUCGAGGCUCAACCUCGAAACUGCACUUGAUACUGCCUUGCUCGAGUACUGGAGAGGAGAUUGGAAUUUACGGUGUAGCAGUGAAAUGCGUAGAUAUCGUAAGGAAGACCAGUGGCGAAGGCGAAUCUCUGGACAGUUACUGACACUGAGGCACGAAGGCCAGGGGAGCAAACAGG
This 253-nucleotide ribosomal RNA is filed under the name uncultured bacterium. RNAcentral describes it as "partial 16S ribosomal RNA". It matches the Rfam family "Bacterial small subunit ribosomal RNA", at positions 524 to 776 of the family's 1533-position model. The record is from RNAcentral.